AUUUACAAUUAUUGCAGCAUUGAUUUAAAGUAUUUAAAUAAAAAUAAAAUAGGAUUUAAAGGAAUUUGAAAUAAUUAAAAAUGGGUAUCAAACCAUUCCGUGCUCAAAUAUCAGUACAAAAAAAUUUAUCUAAGAGAUCAAUUGUGCUUGAAUUUUAUCGAAAAAUAUCACAAACUGAUUCUGCUAUGCAAAAAAAUAUAAAUAAUAAUUUUAAGAAAUCUGAUGUUGAUAUCAAACGAAAUAAAUCUUCAUCUUAAUAAUAUAAAAAUAAGGAUCGUAUCGCUUUUGAUAUCCAUGUACUUGAACGCUUGUUAACUGUCCUUCUUGUUGCAUUCUAUAAUAAGCACGUAUGUAUAAAUAAUUUCAAAUUUUUAUAUAAUUAUAA
Molecule: long non-coding RNA, 385 nt
Organism: Apis mellifera (honey bee)
Lineage: Eukaryota; Metazoa; Arthropoda; Insecta; Hymenoptera; Apidae
Exons: 3
Source: RefSeq, a predicted model, not a curated record